This 694-nucleotide ribosomal RNA is filed under the name uncultured bacterium. RNAcentral's name for it is "bacterial SSU rRNA". It matches the Rfam family "Bacterial small subunit ribosomal RNA", at positions 140 to 828 of the family's 1533-position model. The record is from RNAcentral.
GGGAUAACCCGGAGAAAUCCGGCCUAAUACCGCAUGUGGCCGAGGGGAGGCAUCUUCUUUCGGCCAAAGGAGGCGACUCCGGAGACGGAUGGGCAUGCGUGACAUUAGCUUGUUGGCGGGGUAACGGCCCACCAAGGCGACGAUGUCUAGGGGUUCUGAGAGGAAGGUCCCCCACACUGGUACUGAGACACGGACCAGACUCCUACGGGAGGCAGCAGUGAGGAAUAUUGGUCAAUGGGCGAGAGCCUGAACCAGCCAAGUCGCGUGAAGGAUGACGGCCCUACGGGUUGUAAACUUCUUUUGUCAGGGAGCAAUUGAGUCCACGUGUGGGCUUAGCGAGAGUACCUGAAGAAAAAGCAUCGGCUAACUCCGUGCCAGCAGCCGCGGUAAUACGGAGGAUGCGAGCGUUAUCCGGAUUUAUUGGGUUUAAAGGGUGCGUAGGCGGAAUAUCAAGUCAGCGGUAAAAAUUCGGGGCUCAACCCCGUCGUGCCGUUGAAACUGAUGUUCUUGAGUGGGCGAGAAGUAUGCGGAAUGCGUGGUGUAGCGGUGAAAUGCAUAGAUAUCACGCAGAACUCCGAUUGCGAAGGCAGCAUACCGGCGCCCAACUGACGCUGAAGCACGAAAGCGUGGGUAUCGAACAGGAUUAGAUACCCUGGUAGUCCACGCAGUAAACGAUGAAUAAUAAUUGUCCGGA